This 88-nucleotide transfer RNA is filed under the name Acidimicrobiaceae bacterium. RNAcentral describes it as "tRNA-Ser". It matches the Rfam family "tRNA". Rfam says of the family: Transfer RNA (tRNA) molecules are approximately 80 nucleotides in length. Their secondary structure includes four short double-helical elements and three loops (D, anti-codon, and T loops). The record is from RNAcentral. Lineage: Bacteria; Bacillati; Actinomycetota; Acidimicrobiia; Acidimicrobiales; Acidimicrobiaceae.
GGAGGGGUGGCAGAGCGGACGAUUGCGACGGUCUUGAAAACCGUUGAGGCGCAAGCCUCCGGGGGUUCGAAUCCCCCUCCCUCCGCCA